RNAcentral lists this ribosomal RNA (467 nucleotides) under uncultured bacterium. RNAcentral describes it as "partial 16S ribosomal RNA". It matches the Rfam family "Bacterial small subunit ribosomal RNA", at positions 28 to 507 of the family's 1533-position model. The record is from RNAcentral.
GACGAACGCUGGCGGCGUGCUUAACAUAUGCAAGUCGAACGAUGACGACCGAGCUUGCUCGGUCUGAUUAGUGGCGAACGGGUGAGUAACACGUGAGCAACCUGCCCUUCACUCUGGGAUAACCUCGGGAAAUCGGGGCUAAUACCGGAUAUGAGCUCCUGUCGCAUGGCGGGUGUUGGAAAGUUUUUCGGUGAAGGAUGGGCUCGCGGCCUAUCAGUUUGUUGGUGAGGUAGUGGCUCACCAAGGCGAUGACGGGUAGCCGGCCUGAGAGGGCGACCGGCCACGCUGGGACUGAGACACGGCCCAGACUCCUACGGGAGGCAGCAGUGGGGAAUAUUGCACAAUGGGCGAAAGCCUGAUGCAGCGACGCCGCGUGAGGGAUGACGGCCUUCGGGUUGUAAACCUCUUUCAGCAGGGAAGAAGCGAAAGUGACGGUACCUGCAGAAGAAGCGCCGGCUAACUACGUG